GACGAACGCUGGCGGCGUGCCUAAUACAUGCAAGUAGAACGCUGAAGGAGGAGCUUGCUUCUCCGGAUGAGUUGCGAACGGGUGAGUAACGCGUAGGUAACCUGCCUGGUAGCGGGGGAUAACUAUUGGAAACGAUAGCUAAUACCGCAUAAGAGUAGAUGUCGCAUGACAUUUGCUUAAAAGGUGCAACUGCACCACUACCAGUUGGACCUGCGUUGUAUUAGCUAGUUGGUGAGGUAACGGCUCACCAAGGCAACGAUACAUAGCCGACCUGGGAGGGGGGUCGGCCACACUGGGACUGGGACACGGCCCAGGCUCCUACGGGGGGCAGCAGUAGGGAAUCUUCGGCAAUGGACGGAAGGCUGACCGAGCAACGCCGCGUGAGUGAAGAAGGUUUUCGGAUCGUAAAGCUCGGUUGUAAGAGAAGAACGAGUGUGGGAGUGGAAAGUUCACGCUGUGACGGUAUCUUACCAGAAAGGGACGGCUAACUACGUG
Molecule: ribosomal RNA, 495 nt
Filed under: uncultured bacterium
Lineage: Bacteria
Description: partial 16S ribosomal RNA
Rfam family: Bacterial small subunit ribosomal RNA
Source: RNAcentral